GUUGAUUCUGUCAAAAGUUCCAUAAAAAAACAGGCAGUUUGGUGGGUGGACUGCCCUACUUCCCAGGAUCCCCAGCGACCUGCCUGGCAAGAUACCCAGCUCCCAGGGAUCCCAGACUGCUGGCUGCCCAGUCAGUUCCAGAGAGAUGAACGUUUUACACACUGAUGAAGAGUCAACAAAGUGAAAGAAAGUGAGCAAUGUUCCAGAGAGCUGGUACAGCAGUAGCAAAUGGCUGAUUUUCUGCAAAAGAGAUGAAGUUGGGGGACUAAGAAGAGGCAAAAGUUGGUAGAAUGGAGGGAUCAAGCAUGGAUAGAGAUAUAUGAGGUCAUAGAUUAUAUUGGUAUACGCUA
Long non-coding RNA from Mauremys reevesii (Reeves's turtle), 350 nucleotides. RefSeq lists it as uncharacterized. Lineage: Eukaryota; Metazoa; Chordata; Testudines; Geoemydidae. The record is from RefSeq and is a predicted model, not a curated record. The transcript has 2 exons.